UACAGAGGGUGCGAGCGUUAAUCGGAAUUACUGGGCGUAAAGCGUGCGUAGACGGUUAUUUAAGUCGGGUGUGAAAGCCCCGGGCUUAACUUGGGAAUUGCGCUCGAAACUACUUGGCUGGAGUGUGGCAGAGGAAGGUGGAAUUCCAGGUGUAGCGGUGAAAUGCGUAGAGAUCUGGAGGAACACCGAUGGCGAAGGCAGCCUUCUGGGCCAACACUGACGCUCAUGCACGAAAGCGUGGGGAGCAAACAGG
RNAcentral lists this ribosomal RNA (253 nucleotides) under uncultured bacterium. RNAcentral describes it as "partial 16S ribosomal RNA". It matches the Rfam family "Bacterial small subunit ribosomal RNA", at positions 524 to 776 of the family's 1533-position model. The record is from RNAcentral.